ACUGAGGCUAGAGUCAUGCCCUGGGCACAGCCCUUAUCCUGCCUGGUAUGCUAGAGCUCUCAGAGAGAACCUGCUGGUCUUGGCUCGCUGGUGGGAGUAGCUGUGCCCCCAUUAGCGUCUAGAUCAGAAACACGC
Dipodomys spectabilis (banner-tailed kangaroo rat) is the source of this 135-nucleotide small nucleolar RNA. RefSeq annotates it as small nucleolar RNA SNORA3/SNORA45 family. The transcript has a single exon. The record is from RefSeq and is a predicted model, not a curated record. Lineage: Eukaryota; Metazoa; Chordata; Mammalia; Rodentia; Heteromyidae.